RNAcentral lists this ribosomal RNA (496 nucleotides) under uncultured bacterium. RNAcentral's name for it is "partial 16S ribosomal RNA". It matches the Rfam family "Bacterial small subunit ribosomal RNA", at positions 29 to 507 of the family's 1533-position model. The record is from RNAcentral.
AUGAACGCUGGCGGCGUGCCUAAUACAUGCAAGUCGAGCGAACGGACGAGAAGCUUGCUUCUCUGAUGUUAGCGGCGGACGGGUGAGUAACACGUGGAUAACCUACCUAUAAGACUGGGAUAACUUCGGGAAACCGGAGCUAAUACCGGAUGAUAUUUUGAACCGCAUGGUUCAAAAGUGAAAGACGGUCUUGCUGUCACUUAUAGAUGGAUCCGCGCUGCAUUAGCUAGUUGGUAAGGUAGCGGCUUACCAAGGCAACGAUGCAUAGCCGACCUGAGAGGGUGAUCGGCCACACUGGAACUGAGACACGGUCCAGAGUCCUACGGGAGGCAGCAGUAGGGAAUCUUCCGCAAUGGGCGAAAGCCUGACGGAGCAACGCCGCGUGAGUGAUGAAGGUCUUCGGAUCGUAAAACUCUGUUAUUAGGGAAGAACAUAUGUGUAAGUAACUGUGCACAUCUUGACGGUACCUAAUCAGAAAGCCACGGCUAACUACGUG